Molecule: long non-coding RNA, 1287 nt
Filed under: Triticum aestivum (bread wheat)
Lineage: Eukaryota; Viridiplantae; Streptophyta; Magnoliopsida; Poales; Poaceae
Description: long non-coding RNA (TAES_LNC023046)
Source: RNAcentral
AUUCGCGAGGGUGUGGUCAGGCGUCCGGCGUUCGCCCUCCGGCUGCUUCGCUCCCGUCCGGCCGCCAACCCCCUCCUGCUCCCCCGUUGUCCGCGCCGUUGGUUUGCAGCAUCUCUCGACCGCCGCACCCACCCACGGCCUCUAUUUCUACCCCGGCGACUUUGUUGGUCUUCGUGAUUCGGUACGUUUGUCCGUUUUUGCCUGGAUCCUCAUGUGUAUUGUAAGUUGAUUUAGUACUCCCUCCGUUCACUUUUGUAAGUCAUUUCAGACAACUCAAAAUAGGCUGUUUUGUACAUUGUCUGAAAUGUCUUCAAGGUCUUAUAAAAGUGAACAGAGGGAGUAGCAGAAUCGGUCUGCUCCAGCCAUUCAAGCCGCUAAGCCAAUUUCAGUGGCCUCUACAGCAGGCGGUUAUCAGUUGCUGGUUGUCCUCGCUCUGCAAGUAGCAGCCUCAAAUCUCAUGGUCACUGUUUUGUUGUUGUGAUGUAUUUUGGGUCAGCAAAGCAAAGCUAGAGUAGAUUGUCUUCAGAGUUUGUUGGUUGUAAUGUAGGAUCAGUGUUAAUCCUUUGUGCAGCAAGCUUAAUACUAGUAGGUGUUAAUCCUGCAGUUAGCAAGUACUAAGGCUCAGGUCUGCUGAAUCUAACAAGCUUAGGUUGGAUUCAGGGGGGCUUUGGUCUGUUCAUCUUUUCAGGGGGAGUAGUAAUUGUACAUGUAGUUUUCUAGUGGGCAGUAGUUCAUGUUCAGGGGGGGCUUGAUAUGGUUUUUCUCUGUUAGAUGUACUAUUCAGGAAUAGUAAGGGAUAUAUAUGUGAGAUUGCUGUACUUCUCCACUUAGUUUUUUUUUGUUAUUGUAAUUUUAGUGGAUUGUAAAUUGCAUUUCUUAGUGUAAUCCCUAGUGGAUUUACACUGUAAUUCUUAGUGGAUUUACACUGUAAUUAUAUUUGGAUUUGCACUGUAAUGUUCAUCGGAAUUCCAGUGCAUUUUCUUCGUGGUUUUUACACUGUAAUUAUGUUUGGAUUUACACUGUAAUUCUUAGUGGAUUUACACUGUAAUUAUAUUUGGAUUUGCACUAUAGUCUUCAUCGGAGUUCUAGUGUAUUUUCUUCGUGGUUUUGCACUGUAAUUAUAUUUGGACUUACACUGUAAUAUUCAUCGAAAUUCCAGUGUAUUUUCUUAGUGGAUUUAGACUUUAAUAAUAUUUAGAUUUACACUGUAAUCUCAAUUGGAAUUCCAGUGUAUUUUUCUUAGUGAGUGAAGUGUAAUUCUCAGUUGGUUUCCACUGUAAAUUGCAG